UACGUAGGGUCCGAGCGUUUGUCCGGAAUUACUGGGCGUAAAGAGCUCGUAGGUGGUUUGUCGCGUUGUUCGUGAAAACUCACAGCUCAACUGUGGGCGUGCGGGCGAUACGGGCAGACUAGAGUACUGCAGGGGAGACUGGAAUUCCUGGUGUAGCGGUGGAAUGCGCAGAUAUCAGGAGGAACACCGGUGGCGAAGGCGGCCGACUGGGCCGACCCUGACGCUGGAGGC
Molecule: ribosomal RNA, 231 nt
Filed under: uncultured bacterium
Lineage: Bacteria
Description: partial 16S ribosomal RNA
Rfam family: Bacterial small subunit ribosomal RNA
Source: RNAcentral